This 725-nucleotide ribosomal RNA is filed under the name Erysiphe miranda. RNAcentral's name for it is "eukaryotic LSU rRNA". It matches the Rfam family "Eukaryotic large subunit ribosomal RNA", at positions 1 to 737 of the family's 3401-position model. The record is from RNAcentral. Lineage: Eukaryota; Fungi; Ascomycota; Leotiomycetes; Helotiales; Erysiphaceae.
GUUGACCUCGAAUCAGGUAGGAAUACCCGCUGAACUUAAGCAUAUCAAUAAGCGGAGGAAAAGAAACCAACCGGGAUUACCUCAGUAACGGCGAGUGAAGCGGUAACAGCUCAAAUUUGAAAUCUGGCUCCGUUGGAGUCCGAGUUGUAAUUUGUAGAAGAUGCUUUGGGUUGUGGGUUCGGCCUAAGUUCCUUGGAACAGGACGUCAUAGAGGGUGAGAAUCCCGUAUGUGGCCGAGGCCUGCGCCUAUGUAAAGCUCUUUCGACGAGUCGAGUUGUUUGGGAAUGCAGCUCAAAAUGGGUGGUAAAUUUCAUCUAAAGCUAAAUAUGGGCCAGAGACCGAUAGCGCACAAGUAGAGUGAUCGAAAGAUGAAAAGCACUUUGGAAAGAGAGUUAAACAGUACGUGAAAUUGUUGAAAGGGAAGCGCUUGCAACCAGACUUGGGCGCUGCCGAUCACCCCGAGUUUUCUCUGGUGCACUCGACAGCGCACAGGCCAGCAUCGGUUCGGGUGGCUGGAUAAAGGCCGUAGGAACGUAGCUCCUCUCGGGGAGUGUUAUAGCCUACGGUGCCAUGCAGCCCAGCCGGACCGAGGACCGCGCCUUCGGGCUAGGAUGCUGGCGUAAUGGUUGUAAGCGACCCGUCUUGAAACACGGACCAAGGAGUCUAACAUCUAUGCGAGUGUUUGGGCGUUAAACCCAUACGCGGAAUGAAAGUGAACGUAGGUG